GGGGUUGUAGCUCAGUGGCAGAGUGCUUGCCUAGCAUGCAUGAGGCACUGGGUUUGAUCCUCAGCACCA
This 69-nucleotide transfer RNA is filed under the name Marmota marmota marmota (Alpine marmot). It matches the Rfam family "tRNA". Rfam says of the family: Transfer RNA (tRNA) molecules are approximately 80 nucleotides in length. Their secondary structure includes four short double-helical elements and three loops (D, anti-codon, and T loops). The record is from Rfam by way of RNAcentral. RNAcentral also lists the same sequence under 3 other names. Lineage: Eukaryota; Metazoa; Chordata; Mammalia; Rodentia; Sciuridae.